Molecule: long non-coding RNA, 1046 nt
Filed under: Homo sapiens (human)
Lineage: Eukaryota; Metazoa; Chordata; Mammalia; Primates; Hominidae
Description: HSALNT0408277
Source: RNAcentral
AAAUAAGAGACAUGGGAGACUGAGGGCAUGGGGUGGAAUGCAGGUCUGGAUACUACUUGCAUCUCACCCCUGGUGAGGGUUCCCCUAAGCUGGCCGGGCCUCCAAGAGGGCCUUCUGCCCAGCACGUAGCCCACCACUCCUCCCACACACGUGAGCCAGCCAUACCCUGGCAGGCCCUGCCACCUUCUCUGAACUGAUUCAGCCUGGCCUCCAAGAGCGCUGGGAACAACAGACGCGCAGACCUGCGGACAGACAGGAGACAGGGGUAGGGGCUGCGCGCUCAGCGGGCUCACAGGGACUCCGUUCCCUUUUCUGAGUCUAGGCCCUGCUCACCCAAUGUUUUCCUCCCCUACCUCCCCCGCACCCCAGCCGCCAUUUCUUUCCAGGCCUCGGGCACCAAACCAGGAUGCUUCCAAACUGCGUUUGCCUCUUUGUGCCCCUUCCCCCGGAGGCAACCUGUCUCAGCGCCACCCCGUUUUUGCGGAGUAAACACCGAUGACUCCCAGAUCUACAGCUCCAGGCUGUUCCCUUCUCCGUGUCUCAUAUCAGCUUUGCCAACUGUUUAUUGGACAUCACCGCCUGAGUAUCCCUGAGGGACACGAUUAUCCUGUUUGGAGUGUAUUGAACUUCUUGGAUACAUCGAUUAGUGUCUUUCCUCAAGUUUGAGUAAUUUGCAGUCAUUUUUCCUUUGAAAAUUCUUUCUUCUCUAUUCUGUUUCUCUCCUUGUUGAACCCCCAUCAUGCAUAGGUGUGCUCUGUUCAUUUUUCACAUUACUUUUAUUUUUCUGCUCCUCGGACUGAAUAAUCUCAAUUGACCUAUUUUAAGUUCACUGAUUCUUUUGCCUGCCCAAACCUACUGUUGUACCCCUCUAGUGACUUUUAGUUAUUGUACUUUUCAAAUAAAGAAUUUCUAUUUAUUUUAUAAUUUCUACAUCUCUUUGUAUUUUUACAUCUUUACUGAUAUUGUGUAUUUGCUGAGACAUUCUUCUCUUUUUCUUUAGUCCUUUGUUUACGAUUUCCUUUAGUUCUUCGAGCAUAUAUAAGACA